Molecule: ribosomal RNA, 484 nt
Filed under: uncultured bacterium
Lineage: Bacteria
Description: partial 16S ribosomal RNA
Rfam family: Bacterial small subunit ribosomal RNA
Source: RNAcentral
AUUGAACGCUGGCGGCAUGCUUUACACAUGCAAGUCGAACGGCAGCGCGGGCUUCGGCCUGGCGGCGAGUGGCGAACGGGUGAGUAAUACAUCGGAACGUGCCCAGUAGUGGGGGAUAGCUCGGCGGAAGCCGGAUUAAUACCGCAUACGACCUGAGGGUGAAAGCGGGGGAUCUUCGGACCUCGCGCUAUUGGAGCGGCCGAUGGCAGAUUAGCUAGUUGGUGGGGUAAAGGCCUACCAAGGCGACGAUCUGUAGCUGGUCUGAGAGGACGACCAGCCACACUGGGACUGAGACACGGCCCAGACUCCUACGGGAGGCAGCAGUGGGGAAUUUUGGACAAAGGGCGAAAGCCUGAUCCAGCAAUGCCGCGUGUGUGAUGAAGGCCUUCGGGUUGUAAAGCACUUUUGGCGGGAACGAAAAGGACUGUGCCAAUACCACGGUUCGAUGACGGUACCCGCAGAAUAAGCACCGGCUAACUACGUG